GUGCAGCAGGCGCGAAUCUUCCCCCAAUGGACGAAAGUCUGAGGGAGCGACGCCGCGUGAAUGAAGAAGCCCUUCGGGGUGUAAAAUUCUUUUCUUUAGGAAAAAUUCGUGAUGGUACUAAAGGAAUAAGGGGCCGCCAAACUCGUGCCAGCAGCGGCGGUAAUACGAGUGCCCCGAGCGUUAUCCGGAAUUACUGGGCGUAAAAGCGCUAAAAAGGCGGUUUGAUAAGUCAGACGUCAAAUCUCCGAGCUCAACUCGGAGCCGGUGUCUGAAAACUGUCUAACUUGAGGACGGAAGAGGCAAAGCGGAAUGGCUGGUGUAGCAGUAAAAUGCGUUAAUAUCAGCUAGAAC
This 351-nucleotide ribosomal RNA is filed under the name uncultured microorganism. RNAcentral describes it as "bacterial SSU rRNA". It matches the Rfam family "Bacterial small subunit ribosomal RNA", at positions 346 to 707 of the family's 1533-position model. The record is from RNAcentral.